GAUGAACGCUGACAGAAUGCUUAACACAUGCAAGUCAACCUGAAUUUGGGUUUUUAACUUCGGUUUGGGUGGCGGACGGGUGAGUAACGCGUAAAGAACUUGCCUCACAGCUAGGGACAACAUUUGGAAACGAAUGCUAAUACCUAAUAUUAUGAUAAUAGGGCAUCCUAUAAUUAUGAAAGCUAUAAGCGCUGUGAGAGAGCUUUGCGUCCCAUUAGCUAGUUGGAGAGGUAACGGCUCACCAAGGCGAUGAUGGGUAGCCGGCCUGAGAGGGUGAUCGGCCACAAGGGGACUGGGACACGGCCCUUACUCCUACGGGAGGCAGCAGUGGGGAAUAUUGGACAAUGGACCGAGAGUCUGAUCCAGCAAUUCUGUGUGCACGAUGAAGUUUUUCGGAAUGUAAAGUGCUUUCAGUUGGGAAGAAACAAAUGACGGUACCAACAGAAGAAGUGACGGCUAAAUACGUG
RNAcentral lists this ribosomal RNA (467 nucleotides) under uncultured bacterium. RNAcentral describes it as "partial 16S ribosomal RNA". It matches the Rfam family "Bacterial small subunit ribosomal RNA", at positions 28 to 507 of the family's 1533-position model. The record is from RNAcentral.